UCAGGACGAACGCUGGCGGCGUGCUUAACACAUGCAAGUCGAACGAGACGAAUUAGAAGCUUGCUUUAUUGAGUCGAGUGGCAAACGGGUGAGUAACGCGUAGGCAACCUGCCUCUAGGAUGGGGACAACAGUCCGAAAGGACUGCUAAUACCGAAUGUUGUAUCAAUUCCGCAUGGAGUUGGUAUGAAAGAUGGCCUCUACUUGUAAGCUAUCACCUAGAGAUGGGCCUGCGUCUGAUUAGCUAGUUGGCGGGGUAACGGGCCCACCAAGUCGACGAUCGGUAGCCGGACUGAGAGGUUGACCGGCCACAUUGGGACUGAGAUACGGCCCAGACUCCUACGGGAGGGCAGCAGUGGGGAAUAUUGGGCAAUGGGCGAAAGCCUGACCCAGCAACGCCGCGUGAAGGAAGAAGGUCUUCGGAUUGUAAACUUCUUUUAUCAGGGACGAAGUAAGUGACGGUACCUGAUGAAUAAGCCACGGCUAACUACGUG
This 492-nucleotide ribosomal RNA is filed under the name uncultured bacterium. RNAcentral describes it as "bacterial SSU rRNA". It matches the Rfam family "Bacterial small subunit ribosomal RNA", at positions 24 to 507 of the family's 1533-position model. The record is from RNAcentral.